CCUACGGGGGACAGCAGUGGGGAAUAUUGCACAAUGGGGGAAACCCUGAUGCAGCAACGCCGCGUGAGUGAAGAAGUAUUUCGGUAUGUAAAGCUCUAUCAGCAGGGAAGAAGAUGACGGUACCUGAUUAAGAAGCCCCGGCUAACUACGUGCCAGCAGCCGCGGGAAUACGUAGGGGGCAAGCGUUAUCCGGAUUUACUGGGUGUAAAGGGAGCGCAGACGGCAGUGGAAGUCUGGAGUGAAAGCCCGGGGCCCAACCCCGGAACUGCUCUGGAAACUGUGCGGCUAGAGUACUGGAGGGGCAGGCGGAAUUCCUAGUGUAGCGGUGAAAUGCGUAGAGAUCGGGAGGAACACCAGUGGCGAAGGCGGCCUGCUGGGCUUUAACUGACGCUGAAGCACGAAAGCGUGGGUAGCAAACAGGAUUAGAUACCCCUGUAGUC
RNAcentral lists this ribosomal RNA (440 nucleotides) under uncultured bacterium. Its description in RNAcentral is "partial 16S ribosomal RNA". It matches the Rfam family "Bacterial small subunit ribosomal RNA", at positions 338 to 795 of the family's 1533-position model. The record is from RNAcentral.